RNAcentral lists this ribosomal RNA (478 nucleotides) under uncultured bacterium. RNAcentral's name for it is "partial 16S ribosomal RNA". It matches the Rfam family "Bacterial small subunit ribosomal RNA", at positions 28 to 523 of the family's 1533-position model. The record is from RNAcentral.
GACGAACGCUGGCGGCGUGCUUAACACAUGCAAGUCGAACGGUAAGGCCCUUCGGGGUACACGAGUGGCGAACGGGUGAGUAACACGUGGGUGAUCUGCCCUGCACUUCGGGAUAAGCCUGGGAAACUGGGUCUAAUACCGGAUAGGACCACUGCCUGCAUGGGUGGUGGUGGAAAGCUUUUGCGGUGUGGGGUGGGCCCGCGGCCUAUCAGCUUGUUGGUGGGGUGAUGGCCUACCAAGGCGACGACGGGUAGCCGGCCUGAGAGGGUGACCGGCCACACUGGGACUGAGAUACGGCCCAGACUCCUACGGGAGGCAGCAGUGGGGAAUAUUGCACAAUGGGCGCAAGCCUGAUGCAGCGACGCCGCGUGAGGGAUGACGGCCUUCAGGUUGUAAACCUCUUUCAGCGCCGACGAAGCGCAAGUGACGGUAGGUGCAGAAGAAGGACCGGCCAACUACGUGCCAGCAGCCGCAGUAA